This 527-nucleotide ribosomal RNA is filed under the name uncultured bacterium. RNAcentral's name for it is "bacterial SSU rRNA". It matches the Rfam family "Bacterial small subunit ribosomal RNA", at positions 9 to 526 of the family's 1533-position model. The record is from RNAcentral.
GAGUUUGAUCCUGGCUCAGGAUGAACGCUAGCUACAGGCUUAACACAUGCAAGUCGAGGGGCAUCAUGAACAAAGCUUGCUUUCUUUGCUGGCGACCGGCGCACGGGUGAGUAACACGUAUCCAACCUGCCCUUUACUCGGGGAUAGCCUUUCGAAAGAAAGAUUAAUACCCGAUAGCAUAAUGAUUCCGCAUGGUUUCAUUAUUAAAGGAUUCCGGUAAAGGAUGGGGAUGCGUUCCAUUAGGUUGUUGGUGAGGUAACGGCUCACCAAGCCUUCGAUGGAUAGGGGUUCUGAGAGGAAGGUCCCCCACAUUGGAACUGAGACACGGUCCAAACUCCUACGGGAGGCAGCAGUGAGGAAUAUUGGUCAAUGGGCGUUAGCCUGAACCAGCCAAGUAGCGUGAAGGAUGAAGGCUCUAUGGGUCGUAAACUUCUUUUAUAUAAGAAUAAAGUGCAGUAUGUAUACUGUUUUGUAUGUAUUAUAUGAAUAAGGAUCGGCUAACUCCGUGCCAGCCGCCGCGGUAAUAC